RNAcentral lists this ribosomal RNA (238 nucleotides) under uncultured bacterium. RNAcentral describes it as "partial 16S ribosomal RNA". It matches the Rfam family "Bacterial small subunit ribosomal RNA", at positions 29 to 294 of the family's 1533-position model. The record is from RNAcentral.
AGCGAACGCUGGCGGCAGGCUUAACACAUGCAAGUCGAGCGGGCGUAGCAAUACGUCAGCGGCAGACGGGUGAGUAACGCGUGGGAACGUACCUUUGGUCGGAACAACACAGGGAAACUUGUGCUAAUACCGGAUAAGCCCUUACGGGGAAAGAUUUAUCGCCGAAAGAUCGGCCCGCGUCUGAUUAGCUAGUUGGUGUGGUAACGGCGCACCAAGGCGACGAUCCUUAGCUGGUCNG